RNAcentral lists this ribosomal RNA (253 nucleotides) under uncultured bacterium. RNAcentral's name for it is "partial 16S ribosomal RNA". It matches the Rfam family "Bacterial small subunit ribosomal RNA", at positions 524 to 776 of the family's 1533-position model. The record is from RNAcentral.
UACGUAGGGACAAAGCGUUGUUCGGAUUUACUGGGCGUAAAGGGCGCGUAGGCGGCGUGUUAAGUCAGCUGUGAAAUCUCCAAGCUUAACUUGGAACGGUCAGCUGAUACUGAUGUGCUAGAGUGCAGAAGGGGCAAUCGGAAUUCUUGGUGUAGCGGUGAAAUGCGUAGAUAUCAAGAGGAACACCUGAGGUGAAGACGGGUUGCUGGGCUGACACUGACGCUGAGGCGCGAAAGCUAGGGUAGCAAACGGG